GUCUACGGCCAUGCCACCCUGAACAAGCCCGAUCCUGUCUGAUCUCGGAAGCUGUAGGGUCGGUCCUGAUUAGUACUUGGAUGGGAGACCAUCUAGGAAGACCAGGUGCUGUAGGCA
RNAcentral lists this ribosomal RNA (117 nucleotides) under Pteropus alecto (black flying fox). Lineage: Eukaryota; Metazoa; Chordata; Mammalia; Chiroptera; Pteropodidae. The record is from RNAcentral.